Molecule: ribosomal RNA, 376 nt
Filed under: uncultured bacterium
Lineage: Bacteria
Description: bacterial SSU rRNA
Rfam family: Bacterial small subunit ribosomal RNA
Source: RNAcentral
UACGUAGGGGGCGAGCGUUGUCCGGAAUUACUGGGCGUAAAGGGCGCGUAGGCGGUCAAUUAAGUCAGAUGUGAAAUACCCAGGCUUAACUUGGGGGGUGCAUUUGAAACUGGAUGACUUGAGUGCAGGAGAGGAAAGUGGAAUUCCUAGUGUAGCGGUGAAAUGCGUAGAUAUUAGGAGGAACACCAGUGGCGAAGGCGACUUUCUGGACUGCAACUGACGCUGAGGCGCGAAAGCGUGGGGAGCAAACAGGAUUAGAUACCCUGGUAGUCCACGCCGUAAACGAUGGAUACUAGGUGUAGGGGGUAUCGACCCCCCCUGUGCCGGAGUAAACACAAUAAGUAUCCCGCCUGGGGAGUACGGCCGCAAGGUUGAA